GACGAAUGCUGGCUGCGUGCUUAACACAUGCAAGUCGAACGGUGAAGGGGAGCUUGCUCCCCGGAUCAGUGGCGAACGGGUGAGUAACACGUGGGCAACCGGCCCCUCACUCUGGGAUAACUCCGGGAAACCGGGGCUCAUACCGGAUACGACCGGGAGCGACAUCGCUCCUGGUGGAAAGAACCUCGGUGAGGAAUGGGCCCGGGGCCUAUCAGCUAGACGGUGGGGUAACGGCCCACCAAGGCGGCGACGGGUAGCCGGCCUGAGAGGGCGACCGGCCACACUGGGACUGAGACACGGCCCAGACUCCUACGGGAGGCAGCAGUGGGGAAUAUUGCGCAAUGGGCGAAAGCCUGACGCAGCGACGCAGCGUGAGGGACGAAGGCCUUCGGGUUGUAAACCUCUUUCAGCGGGGACGAAGCGAAAGUGACGGUACCCGCAGAAGAAGCACCGGCUAACUACGUGCCAGCAGCCGCAGUAA
Molecule: ribosomal RNA, 481 nt
Filed under: uncultured bacterium
Lineage: Bacteria
Description: partial 16S ribosomal RNA
Rfam family: Bacterial small subunit ribosomal RNA
Source: RNAcentral